CAGAAUAUAGCUAAACCAGUAAAGCAUCUCACUUACACCGAGAAGACGUCCAUGCAAGUCGGACUAAUCUGA
RNAcentral lists this transfer RNA (72 nucleotides) under Hippichthys penicillus (beady pipefish). RNAcentral's name for it is "tRNA-Val". It matches the Rfam family "tRNA". Rfam says of the family: Transfer RNA (tRNA) molecules are approximately 80 nucleotides in length. Their secondary structure includes four short double-helical elements and three loops (D, anti-codon, and T loops). Further hydrogen bonds mediate the characteristic L-shaped molecular structure. tRNAs have two regions of fundamental functional importance: the anti-codon, which is responsible for specific mRNA codon recognition, and the 3' end, to which the tRNAs corresponding amino acid is attached (by aminoacyl-tRNA synthetases). tRNAs cope with the degeneracy of the genetic code in two manners: having more than one tRNA (with a specific anti-codon) for a particular amino acid; and 'wobble' base-pairing, i.e. permitting non-standard base-pairing at the 3rd anti-codon position. The record is from RNAcentral. Lineage: Eukaryota; Metazoa; Chordata; Actinopteri; Syngnathiformes; Syngnathidae.